RNAcentral lists this ribosomal RNA (442 nucleotides) under uncultured Pseudomonadota bacterium. RNAcentral's name for it is "bacterial SSU rRNA". It matches the Rfam family "Bacterial small subunit ribosomal RNA", at positions 338 to 795 of the family's 1533-position model. Lineage: Bacteria; Pseudomonadati; Pseudomonadota. The record is from RNAcentral.
CCUACGGGGGGCAGCAGUGGGGAAUAUUGGACAAUGGGCGAAAGCCUGAUCCAGCCACGCCGCGUGAGUGAUGAAGGCCUUCGGGUUGUAAAGCUCUGUCGGGAGGGACGAAGUUCUGACGGUACCUCCCAAGAAAGCGCCGGCUAACUCCGUGCCAGCAGCCGCGGUAAUACGGAGGGCGCAAGCGUUGCUCGGAAUCACUGGGCGUAAAGCGAACGCAGGCGGCCGAGUGUGUCGGAUGUGAAAGCCCCAGGCUCAACUUGGGAACUGCAUUCGAAACUGCUCGGCUUGAGUCCGGAAGAGGGUGGUGGAAUUCCUGGUGUAGAGGUGAAAUUCGUUGAUAUCAGGAGGAACACCGGCGGCGAAGGCGGCCACCUGGUCCGGUACUGACGCUCAUGUUCGAAAGCGUGGGUAGCAAACAGGAUUAGAUACCCCUGUAGUC